UAGUCCACGCCGUAAACGAUGAGUGCUAGAUGUUGGGAUUUAUUUCAGUGUCGAAGCUAACGCGUUAAGCACUCCGCCUGGGGAGUACGAUCGCAAGAUUAAAACUCAAAGGAAUUGACGGGGACCCGCACAAGCGGUGGAGCAUGCGGUUUAAUUCGAUGAUACGCGAAGAACCUUACCAACUCUUGACAUACCUAUCGCGAUUUCCAGAAAUGGAUUUCUUCAGUUCGGCUGGAUAGGAUACAGGUGUUGCAUGGCUGUCGUCAGCUCGUGUCGUGAGAUGUUGGGUUAAGUCCCGCAACGAGCGAAACCCCUGCCCUUAUUUGCCAACAGGUUAUGCUGGGGACUAUAAGGGGACCGCCGGUUGUAAGCCGGAGGAAGGUGGGGACGAUGUCAAGUCAUCAUGGGCCCUUACGGGGUUGGGGCUACACGCGUGCUACAAUGGGCAAUUACAAUGAGAUGCAAGAUCGUGAGGGUGGGAGC
RNAcentral lists this ribosomal RNA (483 nucleotides) under uncultured bacterium. RNAcentral describes it as "bacterial SSU rRNA". It matches the Rfam family "Bacterial small subunit ribosomal RNA", at positions 791 to 1268 of the family's 1533-position model. The record is from RNAcentral.